AAUCCAAAGAAAUUCCAAACUAUACCUAUUCACUGUACCGUAUAAUUUACGUACAUUACGUUCCAUGGACCGCAGUAAAGCACGGCCGAUGCGACCACGGUCCAUUUUGUGUAUGUAGGUAUAAUCAGUAUAUCGGGCUUGAAAUCGAGUAAUCACGUUGUUUUCUGACGGUCAGUUAUUUUUCCUCAGUCGUUCGUUUUUGAACUGCUAUUAGUGAAGUGUAUUAUAAGCAAAUUAAAUGCAGUGCGACGGCCUUAUGGCUGCAAAUGUCUGUCAAACCAUUAUCGUCCACAAACGGCACCAACGAUUCUGUCAUUUCGUACUCUCACGCCAAAAGCUACAGUCGUGACAUUAGUAAUUUGUUGGCUGUUAUGUUUAUUGAGCCGUCAUCUCCCAGUGAAGUUCUACGACCACCAUUACCAGCAUACGUUUGGGUGCCUGUGACCUUGGUAUAUUUUUGAACCCAGUUAUUGUGAGCGGGUAUCUCCGAUAUUUUUCGUUUAUAAUCGCCGCUGACCGAUUCCGGACCAAACUGUUAAAGCGUCGUCAUCUGCAAAUAUGUGUUAUAUAAGUGAUGUAUAGUUUAACCACUCAGACAAGACGAUAAUAAUCACUGCUUAUAAGGAAAGACAUUUUAAAGGGUAUAUGCAACUAGAAACCAACACGAAAAGAAAAAAUGAGACAAUAUUUUGGUCGUGAAUAUAGAUUAAAACGUUUUUGCGUCGAUGUUCGCGAGUGUUAUUAAUACGAAUUUAUAGUACUAUACAGUAUACAGUGUGGUUAAAUCCCGGUGAUCAAUUUUUGGUCUUGUACAUGUGUCACCACCACCAACUCCAAUCCGACGAAACGCGGGUCUGCCAUUUCCAGAUGAUUGCGUGCCGGGACGGCACGUCAAGUUUCAGAUGUCAGUGGCGUAACUAUACAUGAUGGUGAGGCACGGCAAUGCCCCAGGGUCCUGAGCUUGGAGGGCCUUCGACCUUCGUAAAUACAAUUUAUAUAGGCCUAUUGUUGAAUAUAUAGCUCUGUUAUUUGGGAUCCAGAGACUGUGGAGGAUUGCAAAUAACUCGACGUGUCCAGCGCAGAUUUCUAUGCUUUGUAAAAUAUACCUACUGUUAAUAUUAAUUGUAAACCUCAUGACUACACUCCUAUCCUCCGCUUUCUAAAUUUCUCCACCUUCCAGUCGAUCGUCGUCAUCAACAUAAUACAUAUUUUCUUCGAAAACUUCUUUCUGGACUCUGACUAUAUUGACUCUGCGUUCCUCCUUGCACAUAUAAAUAUAAAGGUACCAAUUCGAAACGCCUGCAAUAGUUUUUAUUUUCUUAUACCACAAUAAUACUUAACCAACUACUUGAGAAACGAGCUUAUCUCUAGGAUGAUGAGAAUCGCCAAUUAAAAUCCGUAAUUCAUUUUCUAAAUUAUUUUGUUUAAUAUGUAAUUUAUUUCAUUUAAAUGUUUGUUAUAUACUCAUACUAUGCCUUUGUGUAUUGGGCUCUUGCCCAUAAUAUUACUAUAAAUAAAUAAAUAAAUAUAGGCACAUAACAUAUACUAAUAUAUUCUUACGAUAACAUAAUAUAGUACCUAAUCUA
Rhopalosiphum padi (bird cherry-oat aphid) is the source of this 1586-nucleotide long non-coding RNA. RefSeq lists it as uncharacterized. NCBI's taxonomy places the organism in Eukaryota, Metazoa, Arthropoda, Insecta, Hemiptera, Aphididae. The record is from RefSeq and is a predicted model, not a curated record. The transcript has 3 exons.